UUAAUUCAAUUAUUGAUUAAAAUAAAAUAAUCUCAUUUGUCUAUCUUUUUAAAACUCGCGCGCGCUUUUUAUUUUCGUAUCAAGGACGCCUUGUCACAAAUACACAAUGCAGUAAUACCAACCAAAUAGAGUUACGUUACGUCAUCAAGCGAUCAAUCCGGAAUCACAGUACUUACUUUCCAAAUAAUCUUCAAGGUACAACAUCCUGGUCAACUUUUUAAAAUGAUUCGAAGACCUCUAACAGAAAUAACUUUAAAGUUAGAUGAUUUACAAGAAUAUGAAAUAUUCCGUAGAGAACAAGCUAACUAUUUAGCAUCAGAAAUGCAAGACGACACUCCAAAAUCAUUAGCAGGAGCAGGAGCAGGGGCAACUAAAACAACCGAAGAAAUUCAUAAUAGAAUUGGUUAUGCUCCGAAAAAGAAACCUAGUGGCCCAAGCACUGUUUAAUUAAUGUGAAAAUAAAGCUUUAUAAAAUAA
Long non-coding RNA from Ostrinia furnacalis (Asian corn borer), 477 nucleotides. RefSeq lists it as uncharacterized. The transcript has 2 exons. The record is from RefSeq and is a predicted model, not a curated record. NCBI's taxonomy places the organism in Eukaryota, Metazoa, Arthropoda, Insecta, Lepidoptera, Crambidae.